UUGUGGUAAAAUCUCACACGUUUUCUUAAUCUAUAUGCAAACCAGGUAGGAUUGACAGCUGAAGAAAGCUGCACAUUGCCUGGGCUCAAAGUUUUCUGUUCUCCCUCUGAGGGAAAAUCUUUGAGCUCCGUGGCAGUGCCUCGAAGCCAUGGCCCUUGUCUUAGACUUUGCCCUGGCCCGGGUGAGUGCCUGACCCUUGCUAAUGUGUGGGACCUUUAGCAGCAGACAGUCGGGGGAGGUAACCAGAGCCCCCACAUGCCAGUGAUUCAUGUUCUCUGAAGGGAUCAGAGUGUUAUUAGAAACCUUGCUGCCAAAUGCAGGGCAAAUGUAACCAAUUUAUUAAUGCUGAAAAACCAAUGUGUUAAAUUGGACCAAGAGGAGAGAGGCGCCGGCCCCUCACCCACUUCCUGCUCUCUGGCAGUGGCAGAAGGAGGGUGGUGGACAAAGGGUUCUGUCUUUUGCAGGAGGACAUUGCUGUCCUAAUCACAUGUGAUAUUGACAACAAAUAUUUCUGGCCGAACUUCAAAGGGCUGGGAGAUAAUUGUAUCCACCAUCCGCGACCUGGCUGUGAUGCCUCAGCGUGCAGCUCGCAGGUUGUAAAGAGCGCUGGGCAGGAAGGUAGGGAGCUUGGUCUCCUUCCAUCCCAGCUGUGCUCUUCAUUAUUGGGAUCAGUUGAGGAAACUGAGCACAGAGAGUUAAUGAACGUGCCCAAGAUUACGGGUUGAAGUGAAGAGGAUUCGUGCCCACAUCUGUUUAACUAUGCUCCUCACCACCCAAGUCUAAAGAGUGGAAAUCUCACCAAAUUUGGGGGUAAUCUGGUAGGACUGUUAAGAAGCAAAUGCGGCAAUUUUCUUGCUAAGGCUGCUUUGGGAAGUCUCAUAUUUCAGAUUACCAAUUUUUGAAGAAUUGGCUUACUGUAAAAACAAUGCACAUGCAUUUCACAAGAGCAUAAGUAAAUCUUUAUGGUGAUUCAGAGAAACCUUAGAAACAGAAAAUGUCAGGGUUUUCUGGGUUGGCAUCAUUAUCAUCGUACAAGACUAUAGGGGUGGGAGAUAAGAUCUGGUUAUUUUAGAUUCCUAGAUAUUUAGAUUCUGGCUGAAUGUCAUUUAUUUUGUAAUUAACAUCAUGUGUCACAUCUCAACAAUAAAUGCAAGGUAGUGUCUAGUAGGGAAGUCUGAUUAGUAAGUCUUGCAUUAGUGUCUUGUUAAUAGUCCAUAUAUGAAGGACUAACUCUUGUUAACUGAAGAUAGCCUUUUUAGUUGAUUAUGGACAUGAUUAUUUGAAAAUGCUGAUGGACUUCCCACACUCAACUGCUUUUAAAUUCACAAGUUCUUUUCUUCUGGAAACGUGUUUGAUGUAUUACAAUGUCAUGUUCUGAUUGGCAUGAUGUACCUGAAGCGGGGAGCUGCCUUCCCUUUCUGGGAGCUUUCUCUCCUCCUCCCCUUUCCAGUGAUAGUUUAACAGGUCCUGAGGCUGCUGCGUGCCACAAGACAGGAGGGCCACUUCCAGCAUCACUGAGAUCUAGAAGGAAAGUUCAGUCUUCAUGUUUAGUUAAAAUCUAGUCCAAUUCCUCUUGCUCAUUUUGGUAUUUGGAAGAGCAUCCCUAUUUUUGCCUUCCUUUCCAAUAAGCUGUAACUCCUCCAGAUCUUCUCAGGAGAAUAAAUCACUCA
Equus asinus (donkey) is the source of this 1670-nucleotide long non-coding RNA. NCBI's taxonomy places the organism in Eukaryota, Metazoa, Chordata, Mammalia, Perissodactyla, Equidae. The record is from Ensembl.